Long non-coding RNA from Scomber japonicus (chub mackerel), 246 nucleotides. RefSeq lists it as uncharacterized. The record is from RefSeq and is a predicted model, not a curated record. Lineage: Eukaryota; Metazoa; Chordata; Actinopteri; Scombriformes; Scombridae. The transcript is spliced from 3 exons.
AAGCAGUUAGCUGACCUGCUACAACAGACAACGAGCACUGACCCAACAGCAAUUAGAUGCCUUGUCCUGAGAGGACUUCCAGUCAUUCUUGGGGAUGAUGCAUCUAUGUUCUUUAAGAGCAGUUUGGCUCUUAAUGAGGGAGAUUCCAUAAACAUUCCAGUGGGAAUCCUCUGCUAUGAGGACACCAGCGCUGCAAACCCAGCAAGCUCAGCAUUGCCACAACUAAACCCCUCAAGAGUGGGGAUC